This is a non-coding RNA of Pelobates cultripes (western spadefoot toad), 303 nucleotides long. The record is from the annotation of a GenBank genome assembly. NCBI's taxonomy places the organism in Eukaryota, Metazoa, Chordata, Amphibia, Anura, Pelobatidae.
UCCCAGGGCAGCGUGACUGGCAGUGACAUAAAGUGCGCUGUCACCCAGGCGUGCCCAGACACGUUCUCCUCUAUGGCUGCAUGCAUUCCAUCAAACACACUUAACCUGUCGCUGCCCGCAGCUACACUCAGAUAAGUCCUUUCUAUGUUAUUAUAUCGAGGAUGGGAAAAAGAACAAUGUCUGACCUAGGCCACGAAUACUAGUUUCUCUCUAUAAUCAAAUGACUCCUAACUUAUAAAUUCUUUACACUUCCUCCACUGAACAAACCAAGACAUAGGUUUAGCAGCACAAAUGUACGAGUUU